Anopheles coluzzii is the source of this 1507-nucleotide RNA transcript. It is a transcript of the gene named outer dense fiber protein 3-like protein 2, with no coding region annotated. NCBI's taxonomy places the organism in Eukaryota, Metazoa, Arthropoda, Insecta, Diptera, Culicidae. The transcript is spliced from 3 exons. The record is from RefSeq and is a predicted model, not a curated record.
CGCUAAAUUUCAAGUGUUAAAUUUUUAAGUGUAUUCAGCAAAAACAUCCCAAAAAACAAAAUGAGUGCCAAAAACAAAGGUCCUGGACCGGCGGCUUACGGUCUGCCGCCAGAAAUCGGCUUCAACCAACACGAUCCCCGGAAAGACCGCAAACCAAUGUACACGAUGCGGCCGGCGUUCAAAACCCGCUUCGACACGCUCGGUCCCGGCCCGGCCGUGUACGAUCUGAAGAAGAUAACGCGCGUUGGAGGACCCCGGGAACCGAAGUAUUCGCUCGCAAGCCGACUCAACGAGCGCAAGCCGGAUCUCGUUCCCGGCCCGGGUGCGCACAACAAUCAUCUGGUACCGACGAUGAAAUGUAAACGUCCGCCCUUGUACAGCUUCGGCCAGCGUAUCGAUGUGCCCAACCGGGAGAUCAUACCGGCGCCGAAUCGAUACGAUGGGCUGAUUUACAUGACUCGUACCAAAGCUCCGUGCUACUCGAUGAGACCGCAUACGAAGCAGAUUAACGGCUUGGAGGGACCUGGUCCGGCUAGGUACGGUCCUACCUCGCGCGAUGUCACCCACAAACGGGCACCGAACUAUACGCUGCGUGCUGGCCAUAAGCAUCUUACGGAGCGGACGCCUCAUCCCGGCCCGAAUCGCUACGGUUUGAUGAACCUGCGCAUGGACACCACGGCACCGAGCUACAGCUUUGGCAUCAGAUAUCCAGACUGGAAGGAUCCAAUGAUUAUACCGGGUGACAAUUGUUAGGUUCCUGAGUAAACCGGCUUGAGGGUUAUGUCUUCAAGGAGACGAUAAAAAUAUUGAAAGGAUCUUUUAGGGAACUCAACCAGUUUCAAAUGAGUUCAGCAUUCAAUGAGAUUACAUUAGCCACAUUCCGAGGAUCAUUUCCUUCCUAUGUUAAUGAUGCUGCACCCCACUCGACAAGCACACCCCCAGGGCUAAGCGGAUGCACAAAUGUCAUCAGCUCAAGUUACCUGCUGCAAGCAACUGCGAAAAGAAGCCAAUAGUGCUACGAUUGCGCAGUGUAAUGAUCAGCCGAUUAACAUGCUCUCCAUGGCACGUCCCCGACCUGGAGCGCUGAAAUGGCACUGGGCUCGCCUUUUAAAUGUCUUCCCGAAGGAAGGAGCUUACACACCUUUCGUUCCGUUUCCAAAAACAUAACCGAACUGCCCCGCAGGUUCACUUCUCGAUUAGAUCACACCCGUUCGUCCCACGGGGCCCACACACUCAACCGUCAGCGUUGCGCGUAAAAUGGCCCCCUUCGCGACGGAAACGGCCGUGAGGCCUCCGAAAAAGAGGAAAGAAAAAAAACCGAACCGUCUCCAAAACCAAAGCCCACGGGCCAGAGAACCAUUUUCACGGGGGAAGACGCGAAAAGAGAAGACCUACACCAAUUAACCGGCAUAACGAGGAUCAAAUUACUCACCCAAAAGCCACACUCAUUUGUUAUUCACUGAAUCGAUCUUGUCGCACCGGAUGAAAAAUGUCAUGAGCAUAUCAA